This 96-nucleotide non-coding RNA is filed under the name uncultured Lawsonibacter sp. RNAcentral's name for it is "SAM riboswitch (S box leader)". It matches the Rfam family "SAM riboswitch aptamer (S box leader)". Rfam says of the family: The SAM riboswitch is found upstream of a number of genes which code for proteins involved in methionine or cysteine biosynthesis in Gram-positive bacteria. The SAM riboswitch acts at the level of transcription termination control. The record is from RNAcentral. Lineage: Bacteria; Bacillati; Bacillota; Clostridia; Eubacteriales; Oscillospiraceae.
CUUAUCAAGAGUGGUUGAGGGACCGGCCCUAUGACACCACGGCAACCUGCUUAAAUGCAAGGUGCCAAAUCCGGCGAAGCGUAUCGCAAGAUGAGG